CCAGACUCCUACGGGAGGCAGCAGUAGGGAAUUUUGCGCAAUGGGGGAAACCCUGACGCAGCAACACCGCGUGAAUGUUAAGCCCUGCGGGGUGUAAAGUUCUGUCAAUAGGGACGAAUUUUGACUGUACCUAUAGAGGAAGCAUCGGCUGACUCCGUGCCAGCAGCCGCGGUAAUACGGAGGAUGCGAGCGUUAUCCGGAUUUAUUGGGUUUAAAGGGUGCGUAGGCGGGCUUUUAAGUCAGCGGUAAAAAUUCGGGGCUCAACCCCGUCCGGCCGUUGAAACUGGGGGCCUUGAGUGGGCGAGAAGAAGGCGGAAUGCGUGGUGUAGCGGUGAAAUGCAUAGAUAUCACGCAGAACCCCGAUUGCGAAGGCAGCCUUCCGGCGCCCUACUGACGCUGAGGCACGAAAGCGUGGGGAUCGAACAGGAUUAGAUACCCGAGUACCG
Molecule: ribosomal RNA, 446 nt
Filed under: uncultured bacterium
Lineage: Bacteria
Description: bacterial SSU rRNA
Rfam family: Bacterial small subunit ribosomal RNA
Source: RNAcentral